GAUGAAGAACGUAGCGAAAUGCGAUAAGUAAUGUGAAUUGCAGAAUUCAGUGAAUCAUCGAAUCUUUGAACGCACAUUGCGCCCGCCAGUAUUCUGGCGGGCAUGCCUGUCCGAGCGUCAUUUCAACCCUCGAACCCCUCCGGGGGGUCGGCGUUGGGGAUCGGCCCUCCCUUAGCGGGUGGCCGUCUCCGAAAUACAGUGGCGGUCUCGCCGCAGCCUCUCUUGCGCAGUAGUUUGCACACUCGCAUCGGGAGCGCGGCGCGUCCACAGCCGUUAAACACCCAACUUCUGAAAUGUUGACCUCGGAUCAGGUAGGAAUACCCGCUGAACUUAAGCAUAUCAAUAAGCGGAGGA
Molecule: unclassified non-coding RNA, 354 nt
Filed under: soil metagenome
Description: partial contains 5.8S ribosomal RNA, internal transcribed spacer 2, and large subunit ribosomal RNA
Rfam family: 5.8S ribosomal RNA (bases 1-120)
Source: RNAcentral